This 29-nucleotide non-coding RNA is filed under the name Mus musculus (house mouse). Lineage: Eukaryota; Metazoa; Chordata; Mammalia; Rodentia; Muridae. The record is from RNAcentral.
UCAGCCUUGGAAUCACUAAUGUGUGAGGA